UGCGAGAGCGUCAUCCGUUUGUCAGUUCCUCCAACGCAGCAUUACGUCGAACACCUUGUCAAAAAUGAUUGAGAUGGCCAAUCAAAUCAAAAAAGGCGAGUGCCACUGGCCAAUCACAUAACAGAAGACGAGCUUUCCUGUUAACGCAAGCCGAGCGGCGCCCAAUCAAAUUAACCAAUAGGCGGGUUUACCGCCAGGAGAAGCAGUUACGCUGCGUCAAUCAAUCAUAACGGACACGGAUUUCAAAGGCAGCAGGAUGAAAGAUAACCAUGUAUCAGGUCUGUGUUCAUCAAGACAUGAAGACUCUGGAGUGGGACAAGAGAAGGAUGGUGGGGUAAUAUUCCAAUAGACACAUUAAGUGAAAGCUGAUAAAUACAGAGGGCUGGACAGUGGUUUCAUUGAUUAGGUAAAGAGGUGGGACAAUGAUGCUGACAGGACAGGAGGAGGUGACAUUCAGGUUAGUGACAGUACAUCAGGGCCACCAUUUAAUUUAAUGUUAAUUUGUUUGCUUCCAAAAUCAAUACUUGACAAAUCUUUACAAGUAUAUUUGCAAAGCUGAAUUUCUCAUAGGUGGAUAAAGUAUGACAGCAAUUGUGAAGACCUUAGACGUCGUGCAGUAUAUGGUUCUUCUCAUAAAUUGAUGUUUACUCACUCCUCUUUCAUUUAUAUUGAUUUGACUUAAUUUUCUUGGUAACUAAUAA
Long non-coding RNA from Paramisgurnus dabryanus, 701 nucleotides. RefSeq lists it as uncharacterized. The record is from RefSeq and is a predicted model, not a curated record. NCBI's taxonomy places the organism in Eukaryota, Metazoa, Chordata, Actinopteri, Cypriniformes, Cobitidae.